RNAcentral lists this small RNA (814 nucleotides) under Pongo abelii (Sumatran orangutan). RNAcentral's name for it is "processed transcript". Lineage: Eukaryota; Metazoa; Chordata; Mammalia; Primates; Hominidae. The record is from RNAcentral.
CAGAAUCUACCAGCAGGAGUUCUAGUAAAACUGGACGAGAUACUCCAGAAAAUGGAGAAACUGCAAUUGGUGCUGAAAAUUCAGAAAAAAUAGAUGAGAAUUCAGAUAAAGAGGUGGAAGUAGAAGAAUCUCCAGAGAAAAUAAAAGUACAAACAACACCAAAAGUAGAAGAAGAACAGGAUUUGAAAUUUCAGAUUGGAGAACUGGCAAAUACCCUGACAAGUAAAUUUGAAUUUCUAGGCAUUAAUAGACAAUCCAUCUCCAACUUUCAUGUGCUGCUCUUACAGACUGAGACUCGAAUUGCAGACUGGCGGGAAGGGGCUCUUAAUGGAAACUACCUUAAACGAAAACUUCAGGAUGCAGCAGAACAACUAAAACAGUAUGAAAUAAACGCCACUCCUAAAGGCUGGUCCUGCCACUGGGACAGGACCUCUGGAAGCAACUACUCCUGAUUAACCUCGGUGAAGUUAAGGAAAACUUCGUGGCUGAAGAUGUGAAUGAAGAACAAGAUUACUAUCCUCUGCCAGCAGGUCAGAUGAAAACAUUUCUUUAUAUAUUUGGCUUUUCUUGAUUUUUUUUUCGUUAUUUGAAAUCUUUGCUCUUUUAUUUUUCAGCUCCCAGAUCCUCUCCCUCUCUUUAGCUUUCACUGUGUUUGAUAUCAAGAAUAUGAAAUGUGAAUUCCACGGUCCAAGAGGGGAAGAGUCACCUUUCACAAACUUCGUUGUUCUCUUCUUUGGAAGGGAAAUUAGUGUUCUAGGCGAUUGAGUCCCUUCAUUAAUGAAACUUGAAACCCUGUUAUGCAUUGGCAAAUAAC